RNAcentral lists this ribosomal RNA (146 nucleotides) under uncultured Chlamydiales bacterium. Its description in RNAcentral is "partial 16S ribosomal RNA". It matches the Rfam family "Bacterial small subunit ribosomal RNA", at positions 306 to 451 of the family's 1533-position model. Lineage: Bacteria; Pseudomonadati; Chlamydiota; Chlamydiia; Chlamydiales. The record is from RNAcentral.
GCCAACACUGGGACUGAGACACUGCCCAGACUCCUACGGGAGGCUGCAGUCGAGAAUCUUUCGCAAUGGGCGAAAGCCUGACGAAGCGACGCCGUGUGAAUGAAGAAGGCCUUUGGGUUGUAAAGUUCUUUCGCUUGGGAACAAGA